UUUUCUGUUAGUUUGAGUGUAUCUGACUUUAUGUGGAGGUCCCUGAUCUACUUGGACCUAAGCUUUGUACAGGGUGAUAAGAAUGGAUGGAUUUGCCUUCUCCUACAUGCUGACCUCCAGUUGAAUCAGCACCAAAUGCUCUUUUUUCCACUGGAUGGUUUUAGCUCUUCUGUCAAAGAUCAAGUGACUAUAGAUGUAUGGGCUCAUUUCUAGGUCUUCAAUUCUAUUCCAUUGAUCUACCUGCCUGUCUCUGUACCAAUACCACACAGUUUCUAAUCACAAUUGCUCUGUAAUACUGCUUGACGUCAGGGAUGGUGAAACCCUCAGAA
This 329-nucleotide long non-coding RNA is filed under the name Rattus norvegicus (Norway rat). RNAcentral describes it as "long non-coding RNA NONRATT023373". The record is from RNAcentral. Lineage: Eukaryota; Metazoa; Chordata; Mammalia; Rodentia; Muridae.